CCUGCUGCAGCUCCUGCAGGAAAGCAGCCCUGGGGCCAGCACCGCUGCCCCCGCCCCAGCAGGAGGGCACCCGCCGGCAGCUGAAGGCACCCGCAGCCCCGCCAGCCCUGCUCACACCCGCUCUCAUCCGUUUUCUCCCUCCGGCUUUGCACUAGCUCCACUUCCACCUUUUUUUGUUUCCCCCAUGCUGGACUCCGAUUGGCUGAGAGAGCCGUCAUUCAAAUCCACCCCCAUGUUUCUCUUGCCAGCCAAUAGGAAUGCAGCACUGCAAGCGUUGCCAUGGAAACAUUGCAGCCUCCUGCCCUGGCAGCUGGCUCUGCCCCCUGCCCCUGCGGUCGGUCGCCACCUUGUGGGCGACAUCGUGGGGCAUCGCGAGGCAUCGUGGGGCCUCGGGACAGAGUGGCCCCGUGUGCCCGGGCACUGCGGGACCCCGGGGCACGGCUGCUCCCCCGCUGGGGUUGGGCUCUGCCGCUGGGGCCCCGCAGGGCUCCUGGCUGCCCUGCGCCCGGGGGCCGUGGGGGGCGCGAGGGAGCAGCGCUGUGGCCUGUGCUGGUGCCAGACCUGGCGCUGGCGCGGGGGCCCUGGGCAUGGCCAUGGGUGCUGGAGCCCACGGGCAGCAUCCUGCUCCCCCCAGGGCAGGGCAGGGCAGGGCAGGGCAGGGCAGGGCAGGGCCCUGUCACCCCUGGGGCCCCGGCCCCCUGCCCACGGCAGCCCUGGGGCUGGGCAGCCCUCACGCUGCGUCCGGCAGGGCUGGGCCGCAGCCAGGCAGGGGCUGCUCUCUGCAGGGCCGGGCUGGGCUCUGGCGUGUCGCUCCGGAGGGCUGAGGAGCCCCAGGGGCAUGGGGCAGCCAGGGGCAGAGCAGCUCUGGACCUGCUGGUGCUGGGCAGCAGCGGUGUGUGUCUGGGAGGGGCCUGGGGGAGAUGUCCGUGCUGGGCUGCCCCCAGCACUGCCCCCCAUGGAUCAGAGGAAAAUGCUUGGGGUCAGCAGGGACUUGUGGGGUGGCGAUGGCACCCCCACCUGUUCCCAAGCUGCUCUCCCAAACAGGCUGUCCUUUGGUUGCAGAGAUUUGACCCCGAUUUGCUUGAGGACAGGGUCUGUG
RNAcentral lists this long non-coding RNA (1099 nucleotides) under Apteryx haastii (Great spotted kiwi). RNAcentral's name for it is "lncRNA (ENSAHAG00000013820.1)". Lineage: Eukaryota; Metazoa; Chordata; Aves; Apterygiformes; Apterygidae. The record is from RNAcentral.